This 68-nucleotide transfer RNA is filed under the name Marmota monax (woodchuck). RNAcentral's name for it is "tRNA.Ala". The record is from RNAcentral. Lineage: Eukaryota; Metazoa; Chordata; Mammalia; Rodentia; Sciuridae.
GAAUUGUGGCUCAGUGGUAGAACGCUUGCCUAGCACGUGCGAGGCCCUGUGUUCAAUCCUCAGCACCA